UGCUCUGUCGAGGGAGAGGAGAUGCUUC
RNAcentral lists this non-coding RNA (28 nucleotides) under Mus musculus (house mouse). The record is from RNAcentral. Lineage: Eukaryota; Metazoa; Chordata; Mammalia; Rodentia; Muridae.